RNAcentral lists this non-coding RNA (185 nucleotides) under Xanthomonas citri pv. mangiferaeindicae (agent of mango bacterial black spot). RNAcentral's name for it is "6S RNA". It matches the Rfam family "6S / SsrS RNA". Rfam says of the family: E. coli 6S RNA was the first non coding RNA to be sequenced, but its function was unknown until recently. It consists of 184 nucleotides that fold into an extended hairpin structure with a large single-stranded internal bulge. The 6S RNA specifically associates with RNA polymerase holoenzyme containing the sigma70 specificity factor. The record is from RNAcentral. Lineage: Bacteria; Pseudomonadati; Pseudomonadota; Gammaproteobacteria; Lysobacterales; Lysobacteraceae. RNAcentral also lists the same sequence under 1 other name.
CGUUCUCUGCCGUGUCCGACAGCGUGCAAAACAUUCGCCUUGUCCCUUAAGAACGACACCGGGGAUGCAGGAAAACCGGGAGUGCAUAUCCGCCCUCGAGCGGAAAGCCCAAAGGAAUUCCGGCGUUCCCACUUGAACCCCGGGUUCAAGGUCGUUUCGCGUGCAUCGACAUGUGCGGAGAACGU